This 483-nucleotide ribosomal RNA is filed under the name uncultured bacterium. Its description in RNAcentral is "partial 16S ribosomal RNA". It matches the Rfam family "Bacterial small subunit ribosomal RNA", at positions 30 to 506 of the family's 1533-position model. The record is from RNAcentral.
AUUGAACGCUGGCGGCAGGCCUAACACAUGCAAGUCGAGCGAAUGAAGGGAGCUUGCUCCUGGAUUCAGCGGCGGACGGGUGAGUAAUGCCUAGGAAUCUGCCUGGUAGUGGGGGAUAACGUCCGGAAACGGGCGCUAAUACCGCAUACGUCCUGAGGGAGAAAGUGGGGGAUCUUCGGACCUCACGCUAUCAGAUGAGCCUAGGUCGGAUUAGCUAGUUGGUGGGGUAAAGGCCUACCAAGGCGACGAUCCGUAACUGGUCUGAGAGGAUGAUCAGUCACACUGGAACUGAGACACGGUCCAGACUCCUACGGGAGGCAGCAGUGGGGAAUAUUGGACAAUGGGCGAAAGCCUGAUCCAGCCAUGCCGCGUGUGUGAAGAAGGUCUUCGGAUUGUAAAGCACUUUAAGUUGGGAGGAAGGGCAGUAAGUUAAUACCUUGCUGUUUGGACGUUACCAACAGAAUAAGCACCGGCUAACUUCGU